This 145-nucleotide ribosomal RNA is filed under the name Salmonella enterica. RNAcentral describes it as "partial 23S ribosomal RNA". It matches the Rfam family "Bacterial large subunit ribosomal RNA", at positions 2786 to 2925 of the family's 2925-position model. The record is from RNAcentral. Lineage: Bacteria; Pseudomonadati; Pseudomonadota; Gammaproteobacteria; Enterobacterales; Enterobacteriaceae.
CACGAAACUUGCCCCGAGAUGAGUUCUCCCUGAGACUUUAGGUCUCCUGAAGGAACGUUGAAGACGACGACGUUGAUAGGCCGGGUGUGUAAGCGCAGCGAUGCGUUGAGCUAACCGGUACUAAUGAACCGUGAGGCUUAACCUU